AAUUUUAACCCCUAUACGAUUAUUCAAUUCAGAAAUGACUAUUGUUUUCUCUCGUGCAGUCUGUCGGAAAAUUCAGUGUAGUAACCAUGACUACCAUUUUAGGUGAACGCAAAUGGCGUCAUCUCCUUCAAGGAUGGUGUUGAGGAGUAUGUACCUUUCGUUUUUCCCACUCCCAGCAAGCAGCCAAUGAUAGCCCCGUAUUGGGCCGACGUUGAUAUCCGAAAUGGUGGUGAGAUUUUCUACCGUCAAUCGACGAACUUUGAGCUGCUGCAGCGGGCUACCAACGAUGUAAGGAGAUUUUUUCCAAAUCAGUUUCCAUCUUUCCAAGCAUCGUGGAUAUUCACAGCGACCUGGCUGAACGUCACACGUUUCCGACAUGACAGAUCUUUAUUGCGUAUUGCCAGCACCAAGAAAAACACUUUUCAAGUUGUGAUAAUCACCAAUGGAAGACAUUCCUUCAUCUUAUUCAAUUACGAUAAAAUUGAAUGGACGAUCGGAGAUGCUGGCAAGACUAUUCACGGUGGCAUUCCUGCACAGGCUGGUUACGAUUCCGGAGAUGGUCACUUCUUCUUCAACAUCAAAGGUCAAAAGAGAAACUUCAUAAGGCGACUACCGUUACUCUCAAAUGUUGGUGUACCUGGUACGUUCAUGUUCCGUGUUGAUAUUGCUGAGACUACAAAGGGUGGCUGUAAUACUGCUGGAAGUUUGACUUUAAAACCAAGAAGGGGUUUAGUGCUAGGUGGAACAUUUGUUGAAAUAUCUGGACCGUGUUUCAACGUCAUUUCUGACAACAUCGUAUGCCGUUUUGACGAGAGUAUUUUGGCCGAUGGAAAUGUCAUCAACAGAUUCAAGGCAUACUGUGUCACUCCACCGUUACGCCGAAUUGGUAAAAUGUCAUUGGAGCUCUCUCUAGAUGAUGCAAAGACAUUCAAAUUUGCAUCAAAUUUCACCUCGGUCGCCAUUGGACGUCAUGGUCCUGGGAUCUCGGGUUUGAAGUCUAAGGACUGGACAACACAACUCAAACCGCUCUUCAUCGCUUGGAACCCACACAAACUAAGAACACGUGACUUGGUCGAUGUUCAAAUUGCGCAAUUUGAUUGGGAGAAUUUCGAACUACUUGAUAAGCCAUUUACGGUCAAAUAUAAUGUUAGUAACUACGGCUUUGACUUGCUGAACAACGUUGUGGAUUCGGUACCUACUCUUGAUGAUAUGAUCAUGAAAAAUGACUCCUCGCCGCUUUCGAUCCUCAGCAUCCGUGCUCCAAAGCCAGCGCUAGGACUGGCACCGAGGAUAUUUAGUGCACCAUUUCUAUUGUUUCCCACUAAAGUCGACGACGUAAAUGCGAGUAAAAAAUGUCACGAUUGGUUCCGUAAAGAUAAGUUCAACGUAUCAACUGCGUUAGAUGAACUGAUUGGAUGUCCGAGAAGUCUCCAGCAAGCGGAAGCGGAUACGGCUAGAUUUGCGUCGGACGACUAUUGCAAACCGCCGCGAACUGGUUCUUGCAUGACGUAUCAUAAUGGAUCUUAUCAUUGCUUCCGUAGCGUCUUCCCAAGCCCCAGUGGUGCUGGUCAACAAUGUUGUUAUACGCAAGAGGGUCACCUGGUCGUUGGCCCCCCCGGAGGUGGAACUGUGGACCGAUAUCACGCCGGUAGCUCACGAUAUGCUACGUUGAAACAUUUGAAACAUGACAUUUAUCCUUGGUAUCUCUGCUGUAAAUUAAGUAAGAACUGUGGCCUUUACUACAGACGUAGACCCUCGGUAAAUGGUGCUCGUUAUAGGCCACCUCAGAUUGCAACAACUUUCGGAGACCCACAUCUUGUUACUUUGGAUGGUUUAUCCUACACAUUUAACGGUUAUGGUGAAUACACGAUGUUAAGUAUCGACGUCAUUGGAUUCAAAUUUCAAGCACGAAUGCAGCCUUUACUUGCUAAUGGAAGGAAUACUCGUGGAACGUUUUUGAUGGCGUUUGUUCUGAAAGAUGAUCAAAGUGAUAAAGUUCAGGUUGAAUUCAACUCAUUGCAUAAAGUAGACCUCCUGGUGAAUGGUGUUUCCGAAUCAUUUGAAGCCACGUCAACGUUCAUGGACUUCACAAAUCUUCUUUUGAUGCAGCAAAACAACUCUAAUGUUCAUAUCAUCUUCAAAUCGGGCAUCAGUGUUACUGUCAUUCCCAAUGAUGAUUCUUUAUCGUUUGAAAUAUCGAUAUCUGAAAAGUUUAGAGGCAAGACUAAAGGACUUCUUGGAGUCUGGGACGACGAUGUAAAGAACGAUUUUACUUUACCGAAUGGUGAAAAAGUUGAUGUUAAUUCGAACUCUUCGGCGAUACAUUGGACAUUUGGACAGAAAUGGCUGAUUGACGAAGCAACUUCCCUAUUCACCUAUGGCAAUGGCAAAAAUCACAACGAUUUUAUCAAUACUCAGUACAAACCAUUGUUUUUUGAUGAAAUCAAAUCGUUGUUCAUCGACAAACGCCUCGAAAUAAAGGCAAAAGCCAUUUGCGGUGAUGUCAAAGAAUGCCUAUUUGAUGUUGCUGCCAGUGGCAGUGUGAGUUUUGGCAAAUCCACCAAACAAGCAAUCGACCAUUUUACAAAAAUCAAAAAGGAUAUUAACACUGUUCGCUCUCCUCUUUACUUUAACUGUGACGGCAUGCCAGAGACGGAAGCUUGUUCAGCCUGUCAUAGCCAGUGUUCCUCUCCACGUCAUCACUCGGUUGCCAUUUCGAUUCUCACAAUCAUCAUCGGUGUUAUUGUAUGCUCCAUUUUCGCUCUUGCUAUUUCCUACUGCGUUUAUAAAGCAAACAGGAAGGAGGCUAAAACAAGUAUGAACUGCCCCAAAUCAAUGUAUCGUCACCACCCAAGGGUAAAGUGAAACCGUUUUCAGAAGCGACAUUAAUGGCUUUUGUGCUUCCUGAAUUUCCCGAAUCUAAACGUGGAAUGGUGAUGAAAGAAUAACUAUAUGGACGCCAUUUGGACUUUUAAAACACUUUCGCAAGGUGAGUAAGAACACUGUUGGACGUUUUAAAUUGGAAAAUUGACGUACCUCAUCAUCAUCGCUGUCUCCGUCUUCGAGGGCUGCACCAACCACCAUCGCAGCAAGUAAGCCACUCAAAGCACGCUGCAAAGAUGGCAGUCAGUGACAUUACAAGUCUCCUCACUCAAGUCAUAAUUUUGCAUUUGGUGUAAAAGGCUUAUAAAGCUUCAAGUCAUUCUCAAUCAUUAGCUUUAUAUUAACUAUUUGUAAUGAGCAUCUUCGUGCUUGUAUGUCGUUUUAAGUUACGUGAAAAACGAUGACUUACUGCUUCAGCUUCCUCCACGGCUUCUCCACAAGCACGCAUGAACUGCUGUAAGGCCAACAUGGAACGUAGCUGUGACAUAUCUGUCGAUAUGAAAAGAAAGAGUGCUGAUUACGUGUUUCGCAGGCAAAUUAUGAGACAUUUGCUUUGCUACGUUCUACCUAUCAUAAUCAUUCUGUGAAGCUUA
RNA transcript from Xenia sp. Carnegie-2017, 3476 nucleotides. It is a transcript of the gene named sushi domain-containing protein 2-like, with no coding region annotated. Lineage: Eukaryota; Metazoa; Cnidaria; Anthozoa; Malacalcyonacea; Xeniidae. The transcript has 15 exons. The record is from RefSeq and is a predicted model, not a curated record.